Molecule: ribosomal RNA, 371 nt
Filed under: uncultured Glomeromycotina
Lineage: Eukaryota; Fungi; Glomeromycota
Description: SSU rRNA
Rfam family: Eukaryotic small subunit ribosomal RNA
Source: RNAcentral
AGCAGCCGCGGCAAUUCCAGCUCCAAUAGCGUAUAUUAAAGUUGUUGCAGUUAAAAAGCUCGUAGUUGAAUUUCGGGAUCAAUAUGUUGGUCGUGCCUUUGGUACGUACUAGCUUAUUGAUUUCUCCCUUCUGACGAACCAUGAUGUCAUUAAUUUGGUGUCAUGGGGAAUCAGGACUGUUACUUUGAAAAAUUAGAGUGUUUAAAGCAGGCUUACGCUUGAAUAUAUUAGCAUGGAAUAAUGAAAUAGGACGUUUUGAUUCUAUUUUGUUGGUUUCUAGGAUCGACGUAAUGAUUAAUAGGGAUAGUUGGGGGCAUUAGUAUUCAAUUGUCAGAGGUGAAAUUCUUGGAUUUAUUGAAGACUAACUACUG